CACCGCGGUUAUACGAGAGACCCUAGUUGAUUGAAGCGGCGUAAAGAGUGGUUAUGGAAUUCUUUUCUUAAAGCAGAAAACCUCUCAAACUGUUAUACGCACCCAGAGGUUAAAAUACCUCACACGAAAGUGACUUUAUUUUCGCCUACCAGAACCCACGAAAGCUAGGACA
This 172-nucleotide ribosomal RNA is filed under the name Anchoa delicatissima (slough anchovy). RNAcentral describes it as "partial small subunit ribosomal RNA". The record is from RNAcentral. Lineage: Eukaryota; Metazoa; Chordata; Actinopteri; Clupeiformes; Engraulidae.